CAACUUUCAGCAACGGAUCUCUUGGCUCUCGCAUCGAUGAAGAACGCAGCGAAAUGCGAUAAGUAAUGUGAAUUGCAGAAUUCAGUGAAUCAUCGAAUCUUUGAACGCACCUUGCGCUCCUUGGUAUUCCGAGGAGCAUGCCUGUUUGAGUGUCAUUCA
This 159-nucleotide ribosomal RNA is filed under the name Phlegmacium cyanites. Its description in RNAcentral is "Cortinarius cyanites 5.8S ribosomal RNA". It matches the Rfam family "5.8S ribosomal RNA". Rfam says of the family: 5.8S ribosomal RNA (5.8S rRNA) is a component of the large subunit of the eukaryotic ribosome. It is transcribed by RNA polymerase I as part of the 45S precursor that also contains 18S and 28S rRNA. Lineage: Eukaryota; Fungi; Basidiomycota; Agaricomycetes; Agaricales; Cortinariaceae. The record is from RNAcentral.